ACAUAUGGCUCAGUGGUAGAGCACUUGCCUAACAUGUGGGAGACACUGGGUUCAAUUCUCAGCACUGCA
RNAcentral lists this transfer RNA (69 nucleotides) under Marmota monax (woodchuck). Its description in RNAcentral is "tRNA.Val". The stretch from base 6 to 62 matches the Rfam family "tRNA", at positions 8 to 63 of the family's 71-position model. Rfam says of the family: Transfer RNA (tRNA) molecules are approximately 80 nucleotides in length. Lineage: Eukaryota; Metazoa; Chordata; Mammalia; Rodentia; Sciuridae. The record is from RNAcentral.